Molecule: ribosomal RNA, 440 nt
Filed under: uncultured bacterium
Lineage: Bacteria
Description: partial 16S ribosomal RNA
Rfam family: Bacterial small subunit ribosomal RNA
Source: RNAcentral
CCUACGGGUGGCAGCAGUGGGGAAUAUUGCACAAUGGGGGAAACCCUGAUGCAGCGACGCCGCGUGAGCGAUGAAGUAUUUCGGUAUGUAACGCUCUAUCAGCAGGGAAGAAAAUGACGGUACCUGACCAAGAAGCCCCGGCUCACUACGAGCCAGCAGCCGCGGUAAUACGUAGGGGGCAAGCGUUAUCCGGAUUUACUGGGUGUAAAGGGAGCGUAGACGGCUGUGCAAGCCAGAAGUGAAAGCCCGGGGCUCAACCCCGGCACUGCGUUUGGAACUGCGUGGCUGGAGUAUAGGAGAGGCAGGCGGAAUUCCUAGUGUAGCGGUGAAAUGCGUAGAUAUUAGGAGGAACACCGGUGGCGAAGGCGGCCUGCUGGACGGUGACUGACGUUGAGGCUCGAAGGCGUGGGGAGCAAACAGGAUUAGAUACCCCAGUAGUC